GAAAUCCUGCUGUGUGCGUUUAUUCGAUCUCGUUUUGAGCCAACAUUUCGACAUUGGGAAUCUGGGUUUGUUGGUGGAUGAAAAGCCUCCAAUAGAGAGGACUUCAAAAGUCAGUAACAGGAUACCCACCUGCUAGAGGCAGGUUUCAAAACAAUCGAUAUACGGCAUGGCGGGACACUA
Molecule: non-coding RNA, 180 nt
Filed under: Alkaliphilus pronyensis
Lineage: Bacteria; Bacillati; Bacillota; Clostridia; Peptostreptococcales; Natronincolaceae
Description: 6S / SsrS RNA
Rfam family: 6S / SsrS RNA
About the family: E. coli 6S RNA was the first non coding RNA to be sequenced, but its function was unknown until recently. It consists of 184 nucleotides that fold into an extended hairpin structure with a large single-stranded internal bulge.
Source: Rfam by way of RNAcentral